Molecule: transfer RNA, 70 nt
Filed under: Melanocharis nigra (Black berrypecker)
Lineage: Eukaryota; Metazoa; Chordata; Aves; Passeriformes; Melanocharitidae
Description: tRNA-Glu
Rfam family: tRNA
About the family: Transfer RNA (tRNA) molecules are approximately 80 nucleotides in length. Their secondary structure includes four short double-helical elements and three loops (D, anti-codon, and T loops).
Source: RNAcentral
GUUCUUGUAGUUAAGUUUGUAACAACGGCUUUUCAUGCCGUGGACCCUGGAUAGAGACCAGGCAGGAACC